UAGGGAAUAUUAGUAAUGGGCGAAAGCCUGAACUAGCAACGCCGCGUGUGCGAAGAAGGCCUUCGGGUUGUAAAGCACUUUUUGAGAGGAUGAGGAAGGACGGUACUCUCAGAAUAAGUCUCGGCUAACUACGUGCCAGCAGCCGCGGUAACACGUAGGAGGCGAACGUUAUCCGGAUUUACUGGGCGUAAAGCGCGUGUAGGUGGUAUGGUAAGUAGGGCGUGAAAGCUCCUGGCUCAACUGAGAGGGGCCGUUCUAAACUACAGAACUAGUAGAUGGUAGAGGGAGGAGGAAUUCCAGGUGUAGAAGUAGAACGCGUAGAUCUCUGGAGGAACACCGGUGGAGAAGGCGGCCUCCUGAACCAUUACUGACACU
Molecule: ribosomal RNA, 375 nt
Filed under: uncultured bacterium
Lineage: Bacteria
Description: bacterial SSU rRNA
Rfam family: Bacterial small subunit ribosomal RNA
Source: RNAcentral